AUUGAACGCUAGCGGGAUGCUUUACACAUGCAAGUCGAACGAGUGGCGGACGGGUGAGUAAUAUAUCGGAACGUGCCUCGUAGCGGGGGAUAACUACUCGAAAGUGUAGCUAAUACCGCCUACCAUUGGAUCGGCCCAUAUUGGAUUAGCUAGUUGGUGGGGUAAAGGCUCACCAAGGCCACGAUCCUUAGCUGGUUUGAGAGGACGACCAGCCACACGGGGACUGAGACACGGCCCAGACUCCUACGGGAGGCAGCAGUGGGGAAUAUUGGACAAUGGGGGAAACCAUGAUCCAGCCAUCCCGCGUGAAUGAGAAGGCCUUCGGGUUGUAAAGUACUUUUGGCAGAGAAGCGGUAUCUGCAGAAGAAGCACCGGCUAACUACGUGCCAGCAGCCGCGGUAAUAC
RNAcentral lists this ribosomal RNA (405 nucleotides) under uncultured bacterium. RNAcentral's name for it is "partial 16S ribosomal RNA". It matches the Rfam family "Bacterial small subunit ribosomal RNA", at positions 30 to 526 of the family's 1533-position model. The record is from RNAcentral.